AAGAGGGGAAUGAAGAUGACGACAAAGAAAUGAGGGGUACGAGGACGCAGUGCAACGGAAAUGAUGAGGGUAAAUCGGGAAAUUCAUCAUGGAUUUUCGAAGUGGGUCCCGCUUUGGAUCAAAUCACGGGAACACUGAAAAUCAGUGGGUGCGUAUUCAUCUGUAACUCUGGUUUGGUUUCCCAUGUGAAUCGACCUUUUUACCCUUUUCUGAUUUCUGCACCCCACCACCACCUGCCACAUCGCCACCACGUUCUCUUUUAUCUAUUUCUUAUAUUAUUAGUUUCGGACACUAUUUAAUUUAAAAAAUAUUUGUUGUAUUUUAACAUAAUUUUAAAAUAAAAAAUACUAAUUUUUUAAAAUAUAAUUUUUAUUAUGAUUAAAAAAUAAAUAGUAGAUUUUAUUGUCAUUUUAUGUACUAGACGAUUCAGUGAGUGAGUCAGCACUCGAUCUAUGCUGUCACCUAAACAAUAAAGAGGCGACUGCAUUGUACACGUGAUCGACCAAUCCAUAACGUUUAUAUUAAAAGUUGUUCAGAUCAGCAAGGUUAAUCUAUGGUCAAGGGUGGUUUAACACAACCCUAAACCCAAACAAACUUCCUUAACCUGACCCAACAGUAAAAGUCCAUUAAGGUAAUAUAACUAACAUGCAUUUUAAGGACAAAUGUACAUCAUUAUCUAUAGUACUCUGACAAUCGAGUGUCGACACUCCGACUGACUUGAGCGUUUGAGUGUCUUCUGCAGGUACUAUCCUCGCCUGAAGAGCAGAACGGCUGAGAAGAAGGAAGCAUAACAGGGAGCACGAAUGCAUUAAGGAGUUCCAAGAGUACCAGACUGAUCAGACGCAACAGUAGGAGCAAUUGUUC
RNAcentral lists this long non-coding RNA (864 nucleotides) under Phaseolus vulgaris (common bean). RNAcentral describes it as "long non-coding RNA (PVUL_LNC000005)". Lineage: Eukaryota; Viridiplantae; Streptophyta; Magnoliopsida; Fabales; Fabaceae. The record is from RNAcentral.